UGGGGAAUAUUGCACAAUGGAGGGAACUCUGAUGCAGCGACGCCGCGUGAACGAAGAAGGCUUUCGAGUCGUAAAGUUCUUUUAUAUGGGAAGAUAAUGACGGUACCAUAAGAAAAAGCCCCGGCUAACUACGUGCCAGCAGCCGCGGUAAUACGUAGGGGGCUAGCGUUGUCCGGAAUCACUGGGCGUAAAGGGUUCGCAGGCGGAAAUGCAAGUCAGGUGUAAAAGGCAGUAGCUUAACUACUGUAAGCAUUUGAAACUGCAUAUCUUGAGAAGAGCAGAGGUAAGUGGAAUUUUUAGUGUAGCGGUGAAAUGCGUAGAUAUUAAAAAGAAUACCGGUGGCGAAGGCGACUUACUGGGCUCAUUCUGACGCUGAGGAACGAAAGCGUGGGUAGCAAACAGG
RNAcentral lists this ribosomal RNA (403 nucleotides) under bacterium. RNAcentral describes it as "partial 16S ribosomal RNA". It matches the Rfam family "Bacterial small subunit ribosomal RNA", at positions 355 to 776 of the family's 1533-position model. The record is from RNAcentral. RNAcentral also lists the same sequence under 1 other name.